UCAAAAUUCUUAUCUCAAUCUUAAAUUCUUAAUUCUCAAAUUAUCAAUCUAUCUCUCUUCCCUUCAAUUUGCAAGAUUUCAUAUUUGAUCAAGUGCUUAAUUUAUUGUCGAAUUCGGUUAUUCGGUGCACUCCCUCCAACUCUUUCUCUUAUUUAAUAUUUUAAUAGCAUAUUUAAUUUAAGCUUAUAUUUUAAUUUUUACAAUAUGUUUAAUGAUGCUAGUCCUGUAGCUUCUGGUAGUAAUAGUAAUGACCC
RNAcentral lists this long non-coding RNA (254 nucleotides) under Nicotiana benthamiana. Its description in RNAcentral is "long non-coding RNA (NBEN_LNC034869)". Lineage: Eukaryota; Viridiplantae; Streptophyta; Magnoliopsida; Solanales; Solanaceae. The record is from RNAcentral.